This 252-nucleotide ribosomal RNA is filed under the name uncultured bacterium. RNAcentral's name for it is "partial 16S ribosomal RNA". It matches the Rfam family "Bacterial small subunit ribosomal RNA", at positions 524 to 776 of the family's 1533-position model. The record is from RNAcentral.
UACGGAGGGGGCUAGCGUUGUUCGGAAUUACUGGGCGUAAAGCGCACGUAGGCGGCUUUGUAAGUUAGAGGUGAAAGCCCGGGGCUCAACUCCGGAAUUGCCUUUAAGACUGCAUCGCUAGAAUUGUGGAGAGGUAAGUGGAAUUCCGAGUGUAGAGGUGAAAUUCGUAGAUAUUCGGAAGAACACCAGUGGCGAAGGCGACUUACUGGACACAUAUUGACGCUGAGGUGCGAAAGCGUGGGAGCAAACAGG